CCCGAGGCCAGUGGUGGUGUGCGCCUGCGCAAUCCCUUGUUGACAUGCGCAUGCGCAGUCCAGAGUCGGUGUGCGUGUGCGCGAGGCCGCCUCAGGUGAGUCCGUGUCCGCCCACACGGGGAAGCUGAGGCUCAGGGCAGAGGGGUGUGUGAGGGGACGCAGUGAGGGCGCCUCCCCCGGGAGUCAGGGCAGGCGGCAGGGAGGGGGCGGCGCAGGUCCUGGGAGGCCUCAGGGCCCCGCAGCGGGUGGUCGGGUCAGGGAAGCUGUGGCUGAGGGGCGUGGGAGCGGCGUCCGCGGCGGAGGGGGCGUCCGGGCCUCCCCCGCCCUGGGUCAGGCCCCGGGACCUCCGGGCCGGGCGGGAGCGGGGCUGUGCCCACCUGCGUCCUCCGGAAGUGGCCGGGCUGCGACCCCACAGGAGGGGCUGAGGGCGGGGACGACCCCACCCCGGGGCGCAUCAGCCCACCUGAGGGGCGGCUCCGGGAGGCCCGUGUCCUUGGUGCUGGGUCCUGGCCCUGGGAGAGGAGGGCGGAGCCGGCUGACAGGGCGGGGCGGGGCCCCAUCCCUGCAGGGCGUCUGUGCCCCCAUCCUGGGGACUGAGGGCCUGGCUGGGGUGGGGCGGUGCCCCUUCCUGUGGGGUGUGGACGGAACAGCCCUGCGAUGCUGGGAGGACCCGGCCUCCGAGCGUCCACACCCGGUGUGUGUCCGUGCCGCAGGCGCUGUGCCAGAGCCGGCGAAGAGGCCGCCAUGACCCCGCCCUCGUGGUCCUGCUCUGCCUGGGGGAGACGGGAAGACGGGGAGGGGAGACCCUGCUCUGGGAGGGACCCCGCCCCCACCCACAGCCAGGCCCUGCUCCCUGGAGACCCCAGGCUCAGGCGCCCCGGGGAGGAGAGGACCUGCGCAGGGGCAGGGGAAACCCUCUCACGGGGAGCUCUCCUCCAGGGCUGUGCGGGCCCAGGACCAGAGUGCAGGCAGGGACCCUCCCCAGACCCAGCGUCCGGGCUGAGCCAGGCUCUGUGAUCGCCCUGGGCAGGCCUGGGGCCCUGUGGUGUUGGGGACCCUGGAGGCCCAGGAGUGCCGUCUGUAUAGAGAGGGAAUCCCAGAGCCCUGGGACAGAGCGAUGCCCCUGGAGCCCGGAAACAAGGUCAAGUUCCCCACCCUCUCAUGGCCGAGGUGUACGCAGGGCGCUACCGCUGUGUCUGCCUCAGCGCUGCUGGCUGCUCAGAGCCCAGUGCCGCCCUGGAGCUGGGGUGACAGUGAGGAAGCCACACCCGAGCAGGAGCUGGGGGGACCGGAGCCCAGCAGCCCCUCGCACCCCCAACCAGGCUCCCCCGCUGGUGAGUGAGCUACAGGCUGGACUCAGGGCUCAGGACUCAGGCUGCUGCGGGGAGGUGGGGUCCUGGGUGACUGGGUCUGCCCCUCCUCGGUGACCCCUCCGUGCACGC
Oryctolagus cuniculus (rabbit) is the source of this 1442-nucleotide non-coding RNA. NCBI's taxonomy places the organism in Eukaryota, Metazoa, Chordata, Mammalia, Lagomorpha, Leporidae. The record is from RefSeq and is a predicted model, not a curated record.